UUUGUUUUCCCCUCUCUCCAGUGCCAUCCCCUUUGUUCUCUCUAUUAAAAAACCUCUGAUCUUCUCAAAUCUUCUCCUGUACUCCUCCUAUAUAUCUCUACUACUACUGCGCUUCCUCAUAUCAUAUUUGAUCUUCAACAUUUUCUCUUCAUCUCAAUCCACUUCGUGCUUCCUUCAUUCUUGAAGAUCAAUUGCAUCAAUACUUUAUAUUUGAUCUUCAGAUCUUCAGAUAUAGGUGGGAUCUAGGGUUUUUACGGUCAACAAUUUCAUUUCUACCGUUGCUGCAGUUCAGAUACAGUUCAAAUGGAGGCUCUGCUCAUCACAACUGUUGAUACUGAAUGAAGAUGUGCAUCUGAUUGUAAUGAAGAAACAGAGCCGAGAGUUAGGGCAAACUUAAAGAGAGAUCGAGCAGGUAAAUCAUGCCAGAAGUCACCAUAUGCCCCUUCCUUUAAUGUAAAAUUUGUUAC
Long non-coding RNA from Helianthus annuus (common sunflower), 467 nucleotides. RefSeq lists it as uncharacterized. Lineage: Eukaryota; Viridiplantae; Streptophyta; Magnoliopsida; Asterales; Asteraceae. The record is from RefSeq and is a predicted model, not a curated record. The transcript is spliced from 3 exons.